GCCGGGGUCGCCUAGUGGCUAUGGCCGCGGACUGCAGAUCCGCUCACGUGAGUUCGAUUCUCACCCCCGGCUCCA
RNAcentral lists this transfer RNA (75 nucleotides) under Theionarchaea archaeon DG-70. RNAcentral's name for it is "tRNA-Cys". It matches the Rfam family "tRNA". Rfam says of the family: Transfer RNA (tRNA) molecules are approximately 80 nucleotides in length. Their secondary structure includes four short double-helical elements and three loops (D, anti-codon, and T loops). The record is from RNAcentral. RNAcentral also lists the same sequence under 1 other name. Lineage: Archaea; Methanobacteriati; Methanobacteriota; Theionarchaea.